UACAGAGGUCCCAAGCGUUGUUCGGAUUUACUGGGCGUAAAGGGUGCGUAGGUGGUUGGGUAAGUCUGGUGUGAAAUCUCGGAGCUUAACUCCGAAACGGCAUUGGAUACUAUUCAGCUUGAGAGUUGGAGGGGGGACUGGAAUGCUCGGUGUAGCAGUGAAAUGCGUAGAUAUCGAGCGGAACACCAGUGGCGAAGGCGAGUCCCUGGACAACUUCUGACACUGAGGCACGAAAGCCAGGGGAGCAAACGGG
This 253-nucleotide ribosomal RNA is filed under the name uncultured bacterium. Its description in RNAcentral is "partial 16S ribosomal RNA". It matches the Rfam family "Bacterial small subunit ribosomal RNA", at positions 524 to 776 of the family's 1533-position model. The record is from RNAcentral.